GAUGAACGCUGGCGGCGUGCCUGAUACAUGCAAGUCGAGCGAACAGAUGAGGAGCUUGCUCCUCUGACGUUAGCGGCGGACGGGUGAGUAACACGUGGAUAACCUACCUAUAAGACUGGGAUAACUUCGGGAAACCGGAGCUAAUACCGGAUAAUAUAUUGAACCGCAUGGUUCAAUAGUGAAAGACGGUUUUGCUGUCACUUAUAGAUGGAUCCGCGCCGCAUUAGCUAGUUGGUAAGGUAACGGCUUACCAAGGCAACGAUGCGUAGCCGACCUGAGAGGGUGAUCGGCCACACUGGAACUGAGACACGGUCCAGACUCCUACGGGAGGCAGCAGUAGGGAAUCUUCCGCAAUGGGCGAAAGCUUGACGGAGCAACGCCGCGUGAGUGAUGAAGGUCUUCGGAUCGUAAAACUCUGUUAUUAGGGAAGAACAAAUGUGUAAGUAACUAUGCACGUCUUGACGGUACCUAAUCAGAAAGCCACGGCUAACUACGUG
This 497-nucleotide ribosomal RNA is filed under the name uncultured bacterium. Its description in RNAcentral is "partial 16S ribosomal RNA". It matches the Rfam family "Bacterial small subunit ribosomal RNA", at positions 28 to 507 of the family's 1533-position model. The record is from RNAcentral.